UUCUACAAUACAAUUUCUUUAUGUUUCUGUCAAAUAAAUACAGGGGCUUUGGGCCUUUGGCUACAAGCACGGAUAUGUUUAUUUAAUAUAAGUUGUCAAUGUUACUUUCACUAUAUAUUAGUUUUAUUAAUUUUGUAUUCACUAUCAUAUUUAUUAUCAUUUGCACUAUUAUAUCUUUAUUUCCAUUGAAUUACUAUUGUUAAACUUUUCACUUCUAUAUACAUUUAUGCACAUUAUAUGUAUGUUUGUAUAUGUGUCCACUGCAUGUGAGAGGCAGGACACGUUGCGCUCUGUACUGCAGUUUUCAAGUUUGCUUUUCUUUCUUCUAAGAGCAGACUAUCUGAUCAAAUAAGGGAUCAGACUGCUCCUGGUGUUCGAACUAGUCAUUAAUGGUAAGCUUCAUUGGUAUCCUUUCUUUUUUCUGGUAUGCGACCACCGAGACUGAAGGUGGAAAGUUGAAAUCUUCUUUUAUUAUUAUGCAUUCUAUAUGUGCUAGAGUUUACAUUCAUUUUGUUUUUUUCUCUACUCUUUCUCUCCCACUUGUUACUAUAAUCCCGAAACAAGUAAAGUAAGGAUCCAUUUGUUUAUUUUCACGCGAAUAGUCUUUUUUCUUAUUCUGUCUAAAGUGGCUUUUUCCUUUUUUUAUCUCUUUAUGGAUGAGCUUCACCGGGAAGUGGCUCCAUUUCUUACUGCGUUGAGGGCAUCCACAGUGGAGUUAAUCCACCACCAGGCGCGGCCCUUCUGGAAGCUACCCUUGGCUAGUCUCUAAAUGCUUGCCCGAUAGUUGUUUGAUAAAAUUCCUAAGAAAGGUUGCUUGCUGAAUGAGUUUAGUUUUGGGAUUUUGGUUCGUGGGUAUUGUAGAUUUGGCCUUGCUAAUAAAGGGUUGGAGCUUUUGGAUUUGAUGAGAAGUUCUGAGAUUUUGCCUAACAGGAUAUUUUUAACUUGAUUGUUGCCACUUUCAAUGGUUUGAGCGACACCGAUGGUCCAUCAUUUAGAAGGAUAGUUGUAAUUUUGGAGACUCUUGCGAAAUAUAGAUCAUGUGUUGUGAUGUUGGAUCUUGAAUUGGAUCUUGAAUGUGAUGAUUUGGUUAAUGAAAUGUUCAGUACAUUUUUUUCUGUUGUAAGGUAUGUUUUAUUCCAUUAUUUAUUUAAUGUUUUAUUCCAUUAUUUAUUUAAUGUCAAGAACCGUUUACUCAUCGGUUCUGCUUACCAAAAAGUAUGCGUUGCAUGUAACAUGAGUGCUUUUGUUUUUGUUGAAUGUAGAAUUUUGAAAUGGCUUUAUGGUACAACAUGAUAUUGGUCUUAGUAUUUCACUUUAGUGCAGUGGCUAAGAUAUGCCUGCAACCUCUUUUUGUUCAUUGUAGUAUCUUGAGCAUACCUAUUUGUGUGUGCAUGUCUGUCUUGUGGUUGGGUUGGUACUUGAAAGUUUCAUCUUCCCUUAAGUUGUUUUUAUAGUAAGAAUCUGCAUGUUGUUUAAAUCAUUUUCCUGUAUGUUUUGAAUUAUCUUGGACUGGAGGACUGAUGUUAACUACAUAUUGCAGGGAUGAUCAUCCAGAAAGUGUUUUAUCAGCUAUGCAAACAAUCAUGAUUGUGGUGUUAAAAGAGAGUGAAGAUGUUUGAGAUGACUUUUUACUUGUUAUAUUGUUUGCAUUAGG
Molecule: long non-coding RNA, 1654 nt
Filed under: Gossypium barbadense (sea-island cotton)
Lineage: Eukaryota; Viridiplantae; Streptophyta; Magnoliopsida; Malvales; Malvaceae
Description: long non-coding RNA (GBAR_LNC018303)
Source: RNAcentral